This 252-nucleotide ribosomal RNA is filed under the name uncultured bacterium. RNAcentral's name for it is "partial 16S ribosomal RNA". It matches the Rfam family "Bacterial small subunit ribosomal RNA", at positions 524 to 776 of the family's 1533-position model. The record is from RNAcentral.
UACGAAGGGUGCAAGCGUUGUUCGGAAUUACUGGGCGUAAAGCGCGCGUAGGCGGAUUCGUAUGUCGGAUGUGAAAUCCCAGGCUUAACCUGGGAAUUGCAUCCGAAACUGCGAACCUUGAAUGCUUGAGAGGAUGACGGAAUUCCUGGUGUAGAAGUGAAAUUCGUAGAUAUCAGGGGGAACACCGGAGGCGAAGGCGGUUGUCUGGCGAUGCAUUGACGCUGAGGCGCGAAAGCGUGGGUAGCAAACAGG